UUUAACCUUUAAAUUCUGGAGCCACCCGAAAGCCGAGGGGAGGACGCCGGGCGUCGGUGCUAAUGAGGGUGGGGGUGGGCGGUGGGCGGCUGAGUCCUGGGCAGGUCCCGGGGGGCUCAUCCUGGAAGGCCCUGGGAGCCCUUCUCCCUGGCCACCUCCCCCAUCAGACCGGGAGUGCGUUUGAUUGGGCGGCCAGGAGGCAUUGGUCCUUCUCCCCGCCCAGCGGGGGGGUGGUGUCUUACGGGAAGUCAGGGUCUCACCGUGGCGUGAGUGAGGGGGCUGCCUAGGGCUCUGGGCCCCGCCCAGACUGGCCUCCUGCUGAGGUCCACCCCUAUCCCCACCUACAUUCUUCCGCUUUUCCCAGCCUAGUGUUCAUUUGAGAAACCCACCCCGGCUCCCCUCCUUCCUCCACCCCGGCGAGUCACCCGUGCUCCCGGCUGUUUCCUGCCCCACCUGGGGAGGGCAUCUGGGUACCUCAGGCUUGUCCUAGGUCCCCAGAGAUAGACAGAAACAGCAGGACUGGAGGGAUGUUGUGGUCUCACUAAGCCUCAGUUUCUUCAUCUGUAAAAUAGGGGUGAUGAUAAUAGGCAGAUGCCAGGGGUGCUUUGGGCCCCGUCUUGCAUCUUGAUUCUCUCACCCGAGCCAGGAGUCAGGAGAUACGGGCUCUAGUCUUAGCCAGGAAUUGUCUCUUUCUUUCUUGGCACUGGUCUCCCCAUCUGUAAAUUGGGAGUAAGAGCUCCUGCCCUGUGUCCUCUGGGGUGGAGUAGGGAGGUGCCAAGUGAGAUGGCGUAGGUGACGGAGCUCAGCAAACUGUACCUGUCGGGGCAGGUGGGAAGGAACUUCUUGUAUCUUCUAGAACCACCACUUUCUCCCUUCCAGGCUUUUGCCUAUAGGUGUGGCCUUCCCUUCAGUGUCUCCUCCUCUGGGAAGCCCUCCCUGAUUGCCCCAGCAGGUCCUCUCCUCCUGCUGCCCUGGGUGUCUCACCUCAAGCUCAGGCCCCGAUUAUCUGCCUCCCACACAGGUCUGUGAGCCCUCUGGGGGCAGGAACCACAUGCCUGACGAGGGCCUGGUCCAGAGCCCCUUGGGAAGAGAGACACCAGACCUCUGAUGCAGGAGGAGGUCUUGGGCCACACUGCCCAGGCUUCGGGCAAGCAGUGGCCUCUGUUGGUGGGGAACCAUCUUUCCUCAGUGAUCAGCAGGUCCCAGGUACCUGCGUGGCACUGGCCCUUUCCCUGUACUCAGCAGGGCGGCCGGUGGAGCCGCCACUGGGUGCUAGGACCUAGAGAGCCCAGACUGACUACAGGAGACCCUGCCCAGAGCUCCUAACUGGGGUGAGAGGCAAAGGGCAGGUGGGGGAGGCAGUAGAAGGAAACCAUGAGUUCACACUGGGGUAGCCCAGCUGUGCCUGCCCAUCUUAGACACCUUCCAGCCAUUAUCCCAUCGACUCCCCCCAAUAACUCAUUGGAGGCACUGCUAUUGUUACUCACGUUUUGCAGAUGAGGAAACUGAGUAGUUGAGCAACACGGCUAGUGAGAGCAGAGCCUGGAUGCACCCAGUCCCCUUCUCCCAAGGCCAGGCCCAGCAGCCCCUGCCUCUCUGGGAAGGAUGAAAGGGAGGUGCAGGGAGGGGCGAUGUUUCUGGAGCAGCUGCCCUGAGACCUUCUGGGCAAAUUGUCACAGAGAGUCUUGAGAAUGCUUUUGUGUGUGGUGUGCAAAGGAAAUCCCCUUUGGUGUCUCUGAGAGAUCGGGAAGAUUUAAACUGCUUUUCGAUGAUUUGGGGGUGUCAGACUGGUACUGCUUUUGAACGUGACAUGGUGAUGAGACUGGGCCCCAAGGCAGUCCAGUUUUAUUCAGGUUACGGUAAUAAUCAUCACCACAGCAGCAACUAGAGCAGUUUUCACGGGUGAGCGCUCACCACGUGCUGAAUGCUGGGCUCAACCGUGGCUUGGAUACACACUCUGCAUCCUCACCACCAGCUUGAGAUAGAGAUUAUUCUCAUCCUCGGGUUAUUUCCUCAUAGCUGAUAUCUAAACGUGUUUGUCUCCACGCUCAGUCUCCCCUGCUAGGCAGGGGAGCUUGGUGAAGGCCCCAAUCUUGUCUCUCCCAUUCAUCGCUGAGUCCCCGGCACCCAGCAUCAGCUCCUCAAGGAGCAGCUGGACAAUAAAGCUUUGCCGGACACAUUUCAGAUGAAGAGACUGAGGGUCAGAGAGGUCACACAGCUUGCUAAGAGGGAAUCCCAGGUUUCUGUGGCUCGAGAGACCAGUUUCUAAUCACCAACUCAUACAGAAGCUUGAAAGGCCCUCUCGGAGACCUGCCUCAAGACAGCCAGAGAGCAUGAAUCCCCCCACCCUUACCCCCUGCCCACCGUUCUCAGGCCUGGUCCUAAAGCCCAAGAGACUUCUAAUCUGAAUCUGCCCCCUCCCCACCUCCUGCCUGCUUACCAGGGGAUCAGAUGGAAGUUGGCCAGAGUUAGCUCAGGCUUGGGGAAGUUGUACUCUUCCAGAGUUGCCUGGUGUUUUUGGUGUGACCUCAUUCAAAAUUUCCUUCCCCAUCACACUGGUUCCCACUCGGAGAAAUCUUUGAAGUAGAGAUGACCUUAUUAUGUGGUUACUGGCCCGGUUAAUUCAUAUGUGCACUUGAUCAUUGCUGCUUCUCUCUGGGAUGGGGCCCUUGGUUCUGGGGGAGUCUAACCAAGGGUCUCAUGGAGGCCAGCGGUAAUAAACCCAAGACGCUCAUGGUUAAGAACUUGACUCUGUCACUGAGUGACCUUGGGAACCUCAUUUGACCUCUCUGAGCCUUGACGUGUUCGUAAAAGGGGGACAGGCAUGGGGAGUAUCUGUCUUGAAUGCUGGCUGCAGGUGGGAAGAAAGAGAUCAAGUUUUCUCUUUUUAAAAAAAAAUCACACUUUCCACAAAUAAUAGACAAUUUUUAUCCCUGUACUUUAAGAAAUGUUAAUUUUAAAAAAACCUGAACACCAGACCGUACCUGGGCACCUGCCACGUGCCCAGCCUUGCAUCGGAGCUGGGGCUGGAUAGGGGUACCCCACUCGUGGGUGUGGCCUGUGAUGCGUGUGUUCACCUGCUCAGGCCGUCCUCACAGCAACCCCACAAGGUUCGAGGGACCGGGAUCGCCAUUUCCCAGGGGAGGAAACAGGCACAGAGAGGAGACGUGACUGGCUUUACGUUCCACGCUGAGAAGCGGAUGAGUCUGGCAUUGGACCUGGACGCUCUGUUCUACUGAUGAACAGACCUGUGAGCCCUGACUGCAGGGCCCUAAGUGAGCUUUCAGGGCACAAAGACGAACCAGGGGCGCCCGUGCCCUGGGGGAGCUACCUCUCCUAGGAGCGGGGGACACAUUGAAAAACCAGUGAAACGUGGUGUAACGGGGGCACCUGAGGCUGGUUGGUGCGUCCACAUCAGAGUUCUAGGCCCUUCGCUGUACAGAUGGAUGGUACAUGUUUUUUUUUUAAUACCUCCGCUCGAGCUGUAUUUGAAAGCCAGCUGGCUUACCCUUCACUGUGCUGUUCUAGUCCAUGGCCGCGGGGCCUCUGGACUGGGGUCUCCGGCUCCUGCCACUCAGACACAAGGGAUCCUUUUUUUAAGAAGUGGCUGUGCCCCUCCCCCCGAAUCCCGAGUCCAAAGGUGACUUCAAGUCCCUCGUGGAAGGACACCUUCCAGUGGUCAAGAACCUGGGGUCCCCACGCUGACAAGGUGUCUCCAGACGGAGGAAGCGCGUGGCAGGGGCGUGAGCUGAAGUUGUCCGUUGAUCGCAAGCCCCCUGUAUCCACUGGACCUCAGAGCCCCGGCGGUUAACCUCUGAAUGUUCCCGACCAGAACCUCCAAAGCCUAACACCUCCUGUGGGUGUGGGGUGGAGGUGGGAGGGAUGGAGGGGAAGGGUCUGCCUCGAAGGAGCGAGGGAAACACCAUCCCAGCCCCAGACGUGAGCUCGGACAAGCCGAGAUGGGAAGAAAGGUGCAGAGCGGAGCGGAAGUCGCACGCGAGGCCCACCGGGAGGUCUUGUUGCCGGUCUCCACAAGAAAUUCAAGGUUGUCAGCGGCUGGCUUCCUGCGAACAGGAGCCCACACGUCAUGGUCUGCUUCCGUGGAGAGCAUGGCACGAGAGCAUCUCGUGAAGACCUGUGAGACCAGGUGGCCCAGCCCUGCCCGCUGGGGCUGCCUCCAGCGCUCGAUCCACUUGAAAGAAAACAGAAGCUGAUUCCUCUCUCCAUCCCCGCCAGAAAACUUCCUCCUGCUCUCAUUUGCCCCCAGGCCCAUGUUGGCCCAGCAAGAAAACUGCCUCUGUGUAAGUAAUAGCAGCUUUCUCAGUGUGGGUCUAUCAAGGGCGUCCACGAUGCCGUGCAGCUCCCAUCGGAGAGUCUGAAGGAGCACCGUGGGUUGACGUAAUCCCAUCCGAAGCAAAGAAAGGUGAUGUCGUUUGGAGCCUGUGGUGGCCGGGCCCUCCGUCAAGGUGCAGUGACCAUCAGGGAUUUCAGGAGGCUGUAAGGAGCAUGGGGUCUCUCCCUCCACCACCCCCGUGGCCAGAACUCCUUGGAGGGCUCCCCCAGGGCACCCCAGAUUGGGAACCACUGGGCUAAGCCAGUUGGGAUGAGGGUGCGACUCUCUGACGAUCCCUGCAGCCUCUCCCAUUUCCCCGUCCAGGAAGUCCUCCUGCCGCGGGGUGUCCGGGGAGAGCUUGGUGGCUGUGAGGUCAUCCUGACUCUGCCAUUUACCAGCUGUCUGAAAGCCUGGGUCCUCUUGCUUCCCUCUGUAAGGGCUGGGUGUCUUUACUGUCGCCAUUACCUCUUGUUUAGGUGUCCUGACUUCCCACCCCGUCGUGUGUGAUCCUCUCGCUGGAUUUCCGUGAUGCAAGAGGGAUGCAGGGGCGGGCGAAGUGCACGUGGAAACGGGGCUCGGGAAAUGCAGCUUCGGAGAAGCUGUCUGUGCUGGGAGCCUGGAAGGAGCCUGAUGCCAUGGCAGUCUGGCUGUGCUUCCCAAAGGAGCUCUGAAACGGUGAUGCCAGAGUGCCACAAAGACUCCCGAGAAACAGCUUCCUCGCCCAGAGGGGUCUGCUUGAAUAUGCCGACGUGCACUGGGCAUCUCGAAUAAGAGACGAAAGUCCACAAUCUGCCAAUACUGGGCAGACUGUGGUUUUCAGAGUAUAGCCUGGGGUCAGUAUUACAAGGAACACGCUUCGGGAACCCAGUCAGUGAAGGGCCCUCGUAACUAAAAGGUCUCUCUGUUUCUGUAUUAGUUAUCUACUGCUGCAUAACAAAUCACCCCGAACCUAGUGGGUGAAAACAACAGGCAUUUAUUUUCUCCAAGUGUCUGUGGGUCAGGGAUUCAGAACUGGCGUAACUGGCUUGUGGUCUUCCCUGAAGUUGCAGUCCAGGUGUCAGCUGGGGCCACCGUCACCUGACAGCUUGACUGGGGCCAGAGGGUCACCACCGUGGUGGCACACUCACUGGCUGGCAGUGCGGUGCUGGCUGUUGGCAGGAGGCCUUGGUUCCUUGCCCCACAGACUCCUCCACAGAGAUGCUGGAGCUUCCUCACAACAUGGCAGCUGGCUUCCCCCAGAUGAAUGCAAGAGAGCAAGACCGAAACCUCUCAUGACCUGGCCUUGGGAUGCACAUGUGAUCCUUUCCACACCGUCCUAUUGGUCCCACAGGGCAGUCCUAUUCAUUGUGGGAAGGGCUGAAGGAGGUCGAAAUCAUUUGGAGACCAUCUUGCAGGCCAACUGCCAUGGUAAACAUCUCUCCAGCACAAGGACAGAUAACUUGCCUCAUUCUCACAGCUGGUUUCUUACCAUUUAGUGCCAAUUAGUAAUUUUGAGAAGUGACCCUGCUAGGAGGAGGAGACCAGGACUUUAUCAGCCACGCCAACACCCCAUGAACAGCAGCAAUAAUAAUCAUCCAGGCCCGUUCGUUGAGCGCUUACCCUACGCCCAGUGCCUCAACAGCAUCGUGGAGACACGCAGUCCUUGUCCCCAAGCAGCAAGUUCCACAAUAUCUCCAAGUUAUGCCACUCAUUUUUAUGAAAUGUAUAAAAUGAGAUUUUGGGGGGGGCAAUGAUGGCUACAGGGACACAAGCAGCUUUGCCCCCUGAAAAUGCAGAGACAAAAUCCAAGACCCGUGUGAACCCACGUGGAGAAGACUGGAGUGGGGUGUAAACUCAGGAUGGAGAAAUGCCAGAGAGAAACACAUCAUAGGGACUUCCCUGGCGGUCCAGUGCUUAAGACUCCACACCCUCACUGUAAGGGGCGUGGGUUCGAUCCCUGAUCGGGGAGCUAAGAUCCCACAUGCCACGUGGUGCGGCCCCAAAAAUGAAUAAAUAAAUACCUAAUAAA
Molecule: long non-coding RNA, 6341 nt
Organism: Orcinus orca (killer whale)
Lineage: Eukaryota; Metazoa; Chordata; Mammalia; Artiodactyla; Delphinidae
Exons: 2
Source: RefSeq, a predicted model, not a curated record